GGCAGCGGCGUCGCAGCGGCAGCAGCAGCACCAGAGUCAGCCCUCCGCGACAGGCGCACCGCACGUCACCCGUCGGCGAGUUUCCACUGUGACGCGAGGGCGGCGUCCAUACCUGCCGUUGACUCGGUCAGCGCAGCGCGCGGCAGUCAGCUCCACUGUGCUGUUGCCACCCAACAGAGUGUUCACAUUCGAGACAUUGUCUGCUGUAAAAGAACUGUGUUUUUCACGAAGUUACGGAAUUCGUUACACUACACAACUCCACCCUCGGUCACCGCCUUACCAAUAAUCCAUUCACACGUGUGAAGUCCCCGUCACAUAUUCUUCCAUCUGCCGCCACAAAGAGCAGCUCUAUUAAUAAGUGUAAACAAUAGAAACAUUCUUAAUUCGAACUUUUCCUGGAUAUGGAAUUAAUCACAUAAGUAACCACUGAACACCUGAGGUCGAGUACCUCUUCAAGUGUGCUAACGCGUAUCCAAUGAACAUUUCAUUUUAUUUCUGUGGCUAAAGAAGUAUAUUUCCUCAAAAUUGGACCAGUCUCACCCAAAAAAGUGAUCGUUUCUGAACGAUGUCUUAUACUCCCGAAUGUGGUGAAUACCAGUGGUAAAGCAGUCGCUAGCAACACCGUGAGAAUAGUUGGUUGGGAGUUGGCUGAAUUUGUUCCAUACGCAGCUCUGAACAUCACAGCAGGAAAUUCUACUUCAUUUUAACUCGGACCUUUGCAAUCCGAUUAUCAUUUACUUUAGCUAUUUUCAAAUAAACAGACUGUGCAGCGUUAACUACUGGUGUAUAGUGGCCUUAGUUUGAAAACUGCAGGUUACAAACUAGAUUUUCUUUUGACUAUUUAUAUCUGGAUUACAGAUUUUUUCGUACUGAGGCAUGAACUGAAAACAAUAAUCCGAAUUUCCUUCAGUCAUUUGAGUCUCGACGUUAAUUAUAUUUUGUGAAGGAAAGGAGUGAGUAGUAAUUAUUUUAAAACUAGUCAGUUUUGAGCAGUAGUAUAUGGUAGUAACUUGCUUUACACACGUUUCAGUUUUUAUCUGGAGUGCAGUUUUAACUACGUUCUUUUUGUGUAGAGAGAAUUUGUAUACACGAAGAAUUGAUGGCAUUAACCACACAAAGAGAUCGUACAGUUGUCAGAUAUUUUUGUGACAGCCAGUCUGCCAGGUGGCUGGAACGGCAUAUGUGUGCGUAUGUAUGUUGCGUUGAAUGAUAUGCCUGAUCUGCAACAUCAGGAUUGCUAUUAGACGAGAAACAAGAGGCAGACUGCGUGCUGUGACAGCACCUUCACUCGGCGCGUGGACGACUUCUUGCAGAACUGAGAUCUUUAAUGUGCUGACCGAUGGACGGCAGCACAUUCCAAAAUUUGGAAGCUACACCAGUUCCGAUGUCCUGAAUCCCUCUGAGUGGACACGUCGCAAUGACAUUAUUUCGAUUGUACUGUAGCAGAAACAAUAAAACGAGAAGUGGCGGAAAAUACGGAUGACUUGGAAUUUUAAUUCCUGUACUGAAGUUCCGCAAAAUAGACUCGAGGAGGCAAACGCUCCGAUGAAAAUUUCGGUGUUUUGAAGCUGUCUGAGAUAUCGCUUAGCUGAAGACAGAAAAGGAGGGAAAGAGAGAGAGAGAGAGAGAGAAAGAGAGAGAGAGAGAGAGAGAGAGACCUAUAAAGAGACCGAAAGCCGGAUAAAACAUACGAAAUUACCGACUAUGAAGAAGAGAGGCCAUUUAUUCGCGGAAGAGCGCUCCUAAGUGGAGUGUGGACGCAUUCCCAUCUGUAAGGACCCGACCGCCUCUGAAAGAAAACCACGUCAGUGGCGAGAAAGAGGCGACUGGCACUGACCACCGCUGUACACCUUCACCAGCUGUCUCUGGAGCGUCCUUUCCGGCACGCCGCGCUGCAGACACCCCUCCAGCCUACCGUCUGGACUCCCUCUCCAUCCCCGGCGGGGACAGCAUGAACGCGCUACUGCUGUACCGGCGUUGACCACCGCUUGUGAUCGCUUCGACGGCCGCUCGCUCCUCAUCCCGUGAGGAAGGACCACUGCUUCAACAGGACGCAGCAGCUGCAGCAGGCCCUACAACGUGCACCCGCAACGACAAAGGUA
Molecule: long non-coding RNA, 2102 nt
Organism: Schistocerca gregaria
Lineage: Eukaryota; Metazoa; Arthropoda; Insecta; Orthoptera; Acrididae
Exons: 3
Source: RefSeq, a predicted model, not a curated record